GGAGCUGCAUUGUGUUGUCAGCCGGCUUUUAUCGUUUUAGGUUGUACAGUUUGUUAGUUUACCGUAAAUAUGUCAUGAUUUAUACUCAAGAGUGGAGCAAGGCCCGAGGGAACAGAGACUGACGCAUCGUGAGCGAAGAACAGACGCGAUGGAUGGUUAGGCUGCUUGACUCUCGGCUGUACGACUCUCGGCAUGUUAGGACUAGCAAAGUUCCGAAUUUGUCGCGGUGUGGUGUACGCUUCUGUGCUCGUCAAGUGCCGUCCUAGCGCGGGGAUGUUUGAACGGAGUGUGUCCCUUCGUCUACAAAACUCUGCACGCUGCGGCAUCGAAGAAGUCCUGUGAACGGGUGCACGUAUGCGCUUGGAUACGGGAUAGCCUGCCCUCAACGGAUGUUCAACAGUGUACGCACGCUGCGCGUACGCGUACGUAUGAGACUAGUUGCUGGUGUCCUGCUGGAGCUGAGAAAUCUGCUGCCUGCCAUGAGGCCAUGUCUCUCAAGUUACCGCAAUAUUAUUGCCUUCAAACCUGUCGAGACAAGGUUUCUUUACAUGGCCAUGGCCCUCAAGGAAGAAACCGAGACUGCAGACUGCCAACGUUCAUUCCUGUUUUUGCAAAGACGGGCCAGCAGUAACGAGCUGGGUUUUACAAAGUGAACUCAUCACAGCUUGAGCCACUCCAUGCCACAAGCAGUUGCUCGUCGAGCCACCGUGUAAAGGUUCCUUGGGGCUCAAGUCCAACUCAGCGCCACCACCUCUCUUCUGCAGUUUUUCUACCUACUUAGCUAACCAGCAGCAAGUUUAUCCUUGCAAGGCAUGUGGGAACAGCUUUCACCAGGAAACAGUGCAAGACGAGUGCUCGAAGAAAAUAAAAUUGCUUCUGUGAUCUAAGGUACUUGACGAAUAAAAUUUUGCACUUAUUUGUAUAUAUGUUGUGCAAUUCAUUCAUAU
This is a long non-coding RNA of Dermacentor silvarum, 947 nucleotides long. RefSeq lists it as uncharacterized. Lineage: Eukaryota; Metazoa; Arthropoda; Arachnida; Ixodida; Ixodidae. The record is from RefSeq and is a predicted model, not a curated record. The transcript is spliced from 4 exons.